RNAcentral lists this transfer RNA (72 nucleotides) under Stegodyphus mimosarum. It matches the Rfam family "tRNA". Rfam says of the family: Transfer RNA (tRNA) molecules are approximately 80 nucleotides in length. Their secondary structure includes four short double-helical elements and three loops (D, anti-codon, and T loops). The record is from Rfam by way of RNAcentral. Lineage: Eukaryota; Metazoa; Arthropoda; Arachnida; Araneae; Eresidae.
GCUUUCGUGGUGCAAUCGGAAGCACAUACGACGCGUAUUCGAAAGUUCCAGGUUCGAGUCCUGAUGAAAGCG